Callipepla squamata (scaled quail) is the source of this 155-nucleotide small nuclear RNA. It matches the Rfam family "U1 spliceosomal RNA". Rfam says of the family: U1 is a small nuclear RNA (snRNA) component of the spliceosome (involved in pre-mRNA splicing). Its 5' end forms complementary base pairs with the 5' splice junction, thus defining the 5' donor site of an intron. The record is from Rfam. Lineage: Eukaryota; Metazoa; Chordata; Aves; Galliformes; Odontophoridae.
AAAGUCAGGGGAGACACCAUAAUCAGGCAGGUGGUUUUCCCAGGGCGAGGCUCAUCCCCUGCUCUCUGGGUGUGCUGACCCCUGUGAUUUCCCCAAAUGCGGGAAACUCGACUGCAUAAUUUGUGAUAGUGGGGGACUGCGUUCGCACUCUCCUA